Molecule: non-coding RNA, 133 nt
Filed under: pig gut metagenome
Description: glmS glucosamine-6-phosphate activated ribozyme
Rfam family: glmS glucosamine-6-phosphate activated ribozyme aptamer
About the family: This entry contains a glucosamine-6-phosphate activated ribozyme that is found in the mRNA for GlmS. GlmS is an enzyme that uses fructose-6-phosphate and glutamine to generate glucosamine-6-phosphate. The ribozyme catalyses self cleavage of the glmS mRNA that is thought to regulate GlmS activity.
Source: RNAcentral
UUAUUAGCGCCAGGACAGCUUUGCUGUUGACGAGGUUAGAGUUUAUCGAAAUAUUCGGCGGAUGCUCUAGGGCUUUCUACGGUCCUUAAAAAUUAACAAAAACUAGCAGUGAUGUUAGAACAGAUAUAAUUUU